This 468-nucleotide ribosomal RNA is filed under the name uncultured Anaerolineaceae bacterium. RNAcentral's name for it is "bacterial SSU rRNA". It matches the Rfam family "Bacterial small subunit ribosomal RNA", at positions 897 to 1382 of the family's 1533-position model. Lineage: Bacteria; Bacillati; Chloroflexota; Anaerolineae; Anaerolineales; Anaerolineaceae. The record is from RNAcentral.
AAACUCAAAUGAAUUGACGGGACCCGCACAAGCAGCGGAGCGUGUGGUUUAAUUCGUUGCUACACGAAGAACCUUACCUGGGUUUGACAUAUAAGUUGUAGGGAACUGAAAAGGACCGACCUUCGGGGAGCUUAUACAGGUGUUGCAUGGCUGUCGUCAGCUCGUGUCGUGAGAUGUUCGGUUAAGUCCGCUAACGAGCGCAACCCUCGCCGUAUGUUACAAGUGUCAUACGGGACUGCCGGUAAAAGCCGGAGGAAGGUGAGGAUGAUGUCAAGUCAGCAUGACCUUUAUAUCCAGGGCUACACACACGCUACAAUGGUCUGUACAAUUGGUUGCCAAGCCGCGAGGCGGAGCCAAUCCGUAAAGCAGGCCUCAGUUCAGAUUGCAGUCUGCAACUCGACUGCAUGAAGCCGGAGUUGCUAGUAACCGCAGGUCAGCAAUGCUGCGGUGAAUACGUUCCCGGGUCUU